UGUCGAGAGUCUUGUAAUGUUUUUGUCUCUGCCGGCCCUGGCGGUAUUGUUUGAUUUGAUAGAAGGUGAUGAAGUUGGAGGUAAUAUAAUAUUGAACGCGCGUUAACGUAUUGGACUGGAAGUGUUGUGGCGCCCUUUUCUGAGCCGGUUAUGAGAUACAGUUGUUCAGUGGAGAAAUUGUGCUUGUGUGGGACUUACUCCAAGCGUAAUACUUUCAGCAUAACCAUAUUACAAAAAUACGUGGUAAGGUGUUACUGGUAACUUGAAAAGAACCCGUGAGCCCACCACCAGGUGUUGACAGCUCUCAAGCCUUGAUAUACACCGGUGCAGAUCCAGCAUUCCAGGCACAGAUACCACCAACCCUGCCAUUGUCAGCUAAAUGAUUUUCCACUGUUUGGUAGAUUGCAGUUACACAAUUCCAGUAUUGUACAAAUUUAAAGCCCUUCAGUACCAUCUAGUAGCCUCUAAACAAAAAGUCGGAUUUUAUUAUCUAGCAAAGUGGCUAAUCCAUCCAGUUUUUGUCUGUAAUCAACUAGCCACAUAAGUAUGUGGUAUAAUUCCAGGUGUUUAACAUUGUGUUUUUUAGUGAUCAGAUGUGAUUAGAGUUCAUGCUUAUUUCUCUUCCACUCACACAGUUACAUUAAACUUUUCAUUCUCUUACCAUUA
This is a long non-coding RNA of Schistocerca gregaria, 666 nucleotides long. RefSeq lists it as uncharacterized. The record is from RefSeq and is a predicted model, not a curated record. Lineage: Eukaryota; Metazoa; Arthropoda; Insecta; Orthoptera; Acrididae. The transcript has 2 exons.